Oncorhynchus tshawytscha (Chinook salmon) is the source of this 951-nucleotide long non-coding RNA. The record is from Ensembl. Lineage: Eukaryota; Metazoa; Chordata; Actinopteri; Salmoniformes; Salmonidae.
GACCCACCUGCCCUGAAUGACUGGUUGCCACUGAUCACUAGCAGCACCAUAUAACCAUGUAAAAUUCGGAGUAUGUGUAAAUGUACUUGGCGAAUAGGUCAUUAUCAAAAACGUCAUGAAGACAAUAUUCUAUUUUUUUGCUGGUGGGCAGCUUCAAACUACAUUUCAAUGGAAGCUAAUGUUGCUAGAUAUGGUAGAGAUGGCGGUGUCAGAAUACUUAAAAAGGGCUCAAUACGAGGAAAGAGACAGGUGAACCAAUAGCAGCAAAUGUCAGGCCCUGCUUUGAGGACCUAGGUGAUGGUGAAGGCAGAUGGAGAGGUGAUGUGGCAGGCUAAGGUGUAUGGCAGGGUUGGCAGAGUCAUGUUACCAUGUUGGAGCCCUGUUAUACGCAGUGGAGGAAGGCGACCCCAUGCGAGAAUCGGUCACAUGCACGAUGGAACGGAGCAGCUGGCUGAUGCUUGCACAUGUAAAAAAGAUACCAGCAGCCCCUGUAGCCAACAUCGAUUUCUUAUCUGCAAGGGCUAAGAAGAGGAGGAUGGACCAGGCAGGUUGUACAAUGGAGCAGGCAACAUCAUCUCUGUCUUGGCCUCCCAUUGUUAUAGACAUGAAGCUGAUGCCAAACAGUAUGCAGAGGUCAUGUCCCUUGAACAUGAGAACUUUGUGGUCCAUGGCAGUGGCCUUCAGCUGAUGCCAAUUAGUCAUACAUAGGUGCCACACCUGAUGGGUUCCCUCAUUGUUACUCCUGGUGCAGGAGUCUGUGAGAUUAAGGAUGGACAGAGACCCCCGACCAAGCCGUUGUCCAUCUGUCACUGUUUCCGGUGGUGAGUAGGGUGAGCCUGAGUAGGCUAAUGCACUGCACGCAUCGAGGGAAGCCCUGCUGGUUUAAACCUGCACGCAGGGAGUGAGGGAAGAAGGGAGGGGGGAUAACGAGUGUAAUUUCGGUCUAAGAAG